GUCCACGCCGUAAACGAUGGAUACUAGCUGUUGGGGCAACCUCAGUGGUUAAGCGAAAGUGAUAAGUAUCCCACCUGGGGAGUACGAACGCAAGUUUGAAACUCAAAGGAAUUGACGGGGCCCGCACAAGCGGUGGAGCAUGUGGUUUAAUUCGAUGAUACGCGAGGAACCUUACCAAGGCUUAAAUGUAGAUUGACCGGUUUGGAAACAGACUUUUCGCAAGACAAUUUACAAGGUGCUGCAUGGUUGUCGU
RNAcentral lists this ribosomal RNA (253 nucleotides) under uncultured bacterium. RNAcentral's name for it is "partial 16S ribosomal RNA". It matches the Rfam family "Bacterial small subunit ribosomal RNA", at positions 793 to 1055 of the family's 1533-position model. The record is from RNAcentral.